UGUGUGAGAGAGCGAGUGUGUGAGAGAGCGAGUGUGUGAGAGAGAGUGAGUGACUGAGCGAGUGUGUGAGAGAGAGUGAGUGACUGAGCGAGUGAGUGUCUGAGCGAGUGUGUGAGAGAGCGAGUGUGUGAGAGAGAGUGAGUGACUGAGCCAGUGAGUGAGUGAGCGAGUGAGUGAGCGAGUGUGUGAGAGAGCGAGUGUGUGAGAGAGAGUGAGUGACUGAGCGAGUGUGUGAGAGAGCGAGUGUGUGAGAGAGAGUGAGUGACUGAGCGAGUGUGUGAGAGAGCGAGUGUGUGAGAGAGAGUGAGUGACUGAGCCAGUGAGUGAGUCAGCGAGUGAGUGAGCGAGUGUGUGAGAGAGCGAGUGUGUGAGAGAGAGUGAGUGACUGAGCGAGUGUGUGAGAGAGCGAGUGUGUGAGAGAGAGUGAGUGACUGAGCGAGUGUGUGAGAGAGAGAUGACACAGAUGGAGGAAGAGGAAGAAAGGUUGACUUUGGGAUGAAGGCAGGCAGGUGGAGAGAUGAUGUGAUAAGGUUGAAAUAGACAGAACGAAACAUAGAGAAAAGAAACCUUUAGAUAGACAGACACACAGAUAGAAACAAAUGGACAAAAGAGAAAGAUUGAUAGAAAGAUAAGCUGCUAGAUAGAUAGAUAAAUAGAUAGAUAGCCUGAUAGAUAGAUAAGUAGAUAGAUAGAUAGAUAGCCUGAUAGAUAGAUAGAUAGAUAGAUAGGUAGAUAGAUGGCCUGAUAUAUAGAUAGCUGUAUAGAUAGUUAGAUAGAUAGAAUGAACAGAGGGACUGGGUGCAUGUGUAUGUAAUAAUAAUAAUAAUAAUAAUUCAUUUUAUUUGUAACGCACUCG
Molecule: long non-coding RNA, 856 nt
Organism: Clupea harengus (Atlantic herring)
Lineage: Eukaryota; Metazoa; Chordata; Actinopteri; Clupeiformes; Clupeidae
Source: Ensembl